UCUCCCAGACCCUCCCACCUCCUGGACAGCUCUCUAAGAAUGUAAAAUGGAUGCUGUCCAGGAGGUGAGAGGGUCUGGGAGA
Molecule: non-coding RNA, 82 nt
Organism: Pelobates cultripes (western spadefoot toad)
Lineage: Eukaryota; Metazoa; Chordata; Amphibia; Anura; Pelobatidae
Source: the annotation of a GenBank genome assembly